Molecule: ribosomal RNA, 413 nt
Filed under: uncultured bacterium
Lineage: Bacteria
Description: bacterial SSU rRNA
Rfam family: Bacterial small subunit ribosomal RNA
Source: RNAcentral
UAAGGAAUAUUGGUCAAUGGACGCAAGUCUGAACCAGCCAUGCCGCGUGAAGGAUGAAGGUCCUCUGGAUUGUAAACUUCUUUUAUCUGGGACGAAAACGGGAUUUUUAUCUCAAUUGACGGUACCAGAGGAAUAAGCACCGGCUAACUCCGUGCCAGCAGCCGCGGUAAUACGGAGGGUGCGAGCGUUAUCCGGAUUUACUGGGUUUAAAGGGUGCGUAGGUGGGCUUAUAAGUCAGUGGUGAAAUCUCCGAGCUUAACUUGGAAACUGCCGUUGAUACUAUAGAUCUUGAAUUAUCUGGAGGUAAGCGGAAUAUGUCAUGUAGCGGUGAAAUGCUUAGAUAUGACAUAGAACACCAAUUGCGAAGGCAGCUUACUACAUAUAAAUUGACGCUGAGGCACGAAAGCGUGGGG